RNAcentral lists this ribosomal RNA (441 nucleotides) under uncultured bacterium. Its description in RNAcentral is "partial 16S ribosomal RNA". It matches the Rfam family "Bacterial small subunit ribosomal RNA", at positions 338 to 795 of the family's 1533-position model. The record is from RNAcentral.
CCUACGGGAGGCUGCAGUGGGGAAUAUUGCACAAUGGGGGAAACCCUGAUGCAGCGACGCCGCGUGAGUGAAGACGUAUUUCGGUAUGUAAAGCUCUAUCAGCAGGGAAGAAGAAAGACGGUACCUGGCUAAGUAUCCCCGGCUACCUACGUGCCAGCAGCCGCGGUCAGACGUAGGGGGCAAGCGUUAUCCGGAUGUCCUGGGUGUAACGGGAGCGUAGACGGCUGUGCAAGUCAUAAGGGAAAGCCCAGGGCUCAACCCUGGUACUGAUUUGGAAACUUGGGAGCUAGAGUGCUGGCGAGGUAAGUGGAAGUCCUAGUGGAGCGGUGAAAUGCGUAGAUAUUAGGAGGAACACCAGUGGCGAAGGCGGCUUACUGGACAGUAACUGACGUUGAGGCUCGAAAGCGUGGGUAGCAAACAGGAUUAGAUACCCCAGUAGUC